GAUGAACGCUGGCGGCGUGCCUAAUACAUGCGAGUCGAGCGAACGGACGAGAAGCUUGCUUCUCUGAUGUUAGCGGCGGACGGGUGAGUAACACGUGGAUAACCUACCUAUAAGACUGGGAUAACUUCGGGAAACCGGAGCUAAUACCGGAUGAUAUUUUGAACCGCAUGGUUCAAAAGUGAAAGACGGUCUUGCUGUCACCUAUAGAUGGAUCCGCGCUGCAUUAGCUAGUUGGUAAGGUAACGGCUUACCAAGGCAACGAUGCAUAGCCGACCUGAGAGGGUGAUCGGCCACACUGGAACUGAGACACGGUCCAGACUCCUACGGGAGGCAGCAGUAGGGAAUCUUCCGCAAUGGGCGAAAGCCUGACGGAGCAACGCCGCGUGAGUGAUGAAGGUCUUCGGAUCGUAAAACUCUGUUAUUAGGGAAGAACAUAUGUGUAAGUAACUGUGCACAUCUUGACGGUACCUAAUCAGAAAGCCACGGCUAACUACGUG
RNAcentral lists this ribosomal RNA (497 nucleotides) under uncultured bacterium. RNAcentral's name for it is "partial 16S ribosomal RNA". It matches the Rfam family "Bacterial small subunit ribosomal RNA", at positions 28 to 507 of the family's 1533-position model. The record is from RNAcentral.